CGAAGCCAGUGCAAUCAAUAGUUAAUUUUUUCUUCUUUAUUAUAAAUAGACUUUCUUUUGUGUAUUACAUGUUUUUCCCCUCUUUCAUUAUAUAUAUAAAGUUUUGUCCUUACCACUUCAACUUGACGUUUGUUUAUUGAUAUUUUGUGAGGUAUUUGCCUAUGGGAUUUUUCUUCUUCUUUCUAUUGGUAGCAGGUGUAAAUUUAAUUUUUUUUUUUUUUUUUAUCUUACUUUCACUUAAAAGAAUCUAUCCUGCUUUUACCGAUCAUUUAUUUUCAGUUGUUUUCAUAAUUGCCUUGUUUGAAACAGGUUUAGUAUUGUGCAUUAAAAACAGGGGGUUGCAUUAUUCAUAGAAGUUAAAACUAAGUAUUGGAAUAAACAUAUAGGUUAAAUAUUUAUUAGAUGAUGAAAUUUGAUUCUAGAAUAUGUAUAUGUAAGAAUCUUAAGGCUCAUUUUUGUAUUUGUAAUUAGAUUUUUUUUAUUUAUUUAUUUUUUUUUUUGGGGUAAGCGAAUGUGAAGAAAAUUGGAAUUACAAGGUCCGGGAAUUGUGAAAUGUUUGAACUAUAAAUUUAUUUUAUUUUUGGAAAUGCA
RNAcentral lists this long non-coding RNA (591 nucleotides) under Olea europaea subsp. europaea. Lineage: Eukaryota; Viridiplantae; Streptophyta; Magnoliopsida; Lamiales; Oleaceae. The record is from RNAcentral.